UCCCGCUUUCAGGUGAACUGAAGCCCUAAAAAGAGUUUCAGAGCAAGGAGGAGACUGCGAACAGAACAAGAAGAAAGGGCAGGAAUUCAGUUUCUUCUUCUUCAAUUGAUUGUUCAAACUAUAUAGAGCUGGAAACCAUUAGAGAAUCUUCACUUUCGGUCCGAACUACGCGCCAAGGCAAGCAAUGGAGUGAUGGGCAGGUCCUAUACAAGAUGUCCCCCAGAACUGCUCAAAUCCGUCUUGUCAGCUCACAUCGCGAGGUUUAUGAACCGUGUGAUGAUUCAUUUGCUUUAGUAGAUGCUCUUUUGGCUGAUCAAGCAAACCUGUUACAGCAUCAACCAAAAUUGUGCCUGGAACUGGGCUGUGGUAGUGGCUAUGUUAUUACUUCUCUAGCUCUUAUUCUUGGCAAGGAGGGGCACUAUAUUGCAACUGAUAUCAACCCCCAUGCAGUGAGAGUGACUCAGGAGACACUUGAAGCACACGGGGUUCAUGCAGAAUUGAUAAACACUAACAUUGCAUCAGGACUUGAGAAGCGUCUGGCAGGAUUAGUUGAUGUAAUAGUUGUGAACCCGCCUUAUGUGCCUACUCCUGAAGAUGAAGUGGGUCGUGAAGGGAUUGCAUCUGCUUGGGCUGGCGGAGAGAAUGGUCGUGCUGUGAUUGAUAAGAUACUGCCUGUUGCCGAUAAUCUUUUGUCAGAGAAAGGCUGGUUGUAUAUGGUCACGCUUUCAGAAAACAAUCCAUCAGAGAUAUGCCUUCAAAUGAGAGAGAAGGGCUAUGCUUCCAGAAUCCUUGUCCAGAGAUUGACAGACGAAGAGAGUCUCCAGAUCAUCAAGUUCUGGCGGGAUUUUGAUUCUCAAUUAGAAGCGAAGGAGAUGGCAGAAAACAAAACAGUUCCGUCUAGGGUCAUGGAGUCUUUGCUCUCUCAAUUUCCUAGAAUGCCAUUUUUGAGAGGCAAUAACAGCAACAGUAGCUGAUGAAUAGACAAGGUUAAAACAAAAGGUUUUCUAGUGUUUACAUGUUUGAUAAUAGUUCCUCUUCUUCUCUGACUGGUGUAAACUUGUAGAAUCGUCUGCUUAUGUGAGAUUUCAAAAGAAAUAUUAGAUUUGUGUUCCUUUGCUUGAGGUUGACGGUUUCAACUGCCUAAAUCAAAGCCUCUGAGUCACUCCUGUAAAGAGUUCGAUGUGUAUGCAACUCUUGAGAGAUGGAGGACCCUAGAACUUCUUUUUAGCUGCUUCUCUACUGUGAGAAUCAUUUUCCACUUUAGUAGCAAUGGAAAAAACCAAGACUCAAUUGCUGAUGCCACUCUACAUGUCACUCAUCAGUUGUUGAUAUUGGAGUCAUUCUACUCAGU
Molecule: RNA transcript, 1351 nt
Organism: Rosa rugosa (rugosa rose)
Lineage: Eukaryota; Viridiplantae; Streptophyta; Magnoliopsida; Rosales; Rosaceae
Exons: 4
Source: RefSeq, a predicted model, not a curated record